RNAcentral lists this ribosomal RNA (209 nucleotides) under uncultured bacterium. RNAcentral's name for it is "partial 16S ribosomal RNA". It matches the Rfam family "Bacterial small subunit ribosomal RNA", at positions 111 to 334 of the family's 1533-position model. The record is from RNAcentral.
UAACGCGUAGGAACCUAUCGCGCAGUGGGGGAUACCGCUGGAAACCGGUGUUAAUACCGCAUGUGGUCAGCGAUGACGAAAGCAGCAAUGCGCUGUGUGAGGGGCCUGCGUCCGAUUAGCUAGUUGGUGGGGUAAAGGCCUACCAAGGCGACGAUCAGUAGCUGGUCUGAGAGGAUGAUCAGCCACACUGGGACUGAGACACGGCCCAG